Long non-coding RNA from Gallus gallus (chicken), 1617 nucleotides. The record is from Ensembl. NCBI's taxonomy places the organism in Eukaryota, Metazoa, Chordata, Aves, Galliformes, Phasianidae.
AGGAAGGAGAACCAUCUGAGAAAUGGGAGCCUAUCUUGUCCUGCUGAAACAAAAGAGUUGAUGUAUCUUUCUGCAUGUGGAAGGUGCUCAUCAGAAGCACUGGAACCACUUGGAGCAGAUGACAAGUUUUGAAGGUCACAUGUUGGUGGAUCACAAAUUCACUCAGUCCAGUAGACAGAGACACAGCUAAAGCUGAACUUCAGCAGCUACUCCAAGAAAAUGGGACACAGAGGGAAUAUACAGCCAGGACUGCAGAAGAAGCCUUUAAGUUUCUGAAGAUCCACAGCCACAAGUGAAUGCCAGCACUGAGAUGGAGAAACCAGCCUGGCCAAGAGCCCUCCGCCCCAGGCCAUUACAGGAAGCUGUCGGCUUGCAGAAGGACCUGGGAAAUGAUGGUAGUGAUGACAGGAAAGAGAAGAGCUCCUGGUUAUUCUGUGCUCUCUAGUCAUCCACCCCGCCAUGGCCAUGGCCCUGCUCUCAGCUGAGCCCCGCUCUCCAAACUGAGCAAAGCGCUUCUGCAGAGCUGAGUCGCAGCAGAAGCCACAGCACUGUUCAGGAGGAGAGACUGAGCUCUCUGAAACUCCCCGGAAGUGGCACAAAGGUCCUGGCUAAGGAUUGUGAAAUCCUCUAAGGAGCACAGAUGGACAAGGCCAGGGGCAACGAGAGAGAAGAUAAGCUGCUGCUAAUGGCUGGGAAACGGUCUUUUGUGUGGACUUAUCUUGAGGAAGAUGGCCAUCUCAGGAGGUAUGCCCAGGACUCUUGCUCAAGCACCCAGGAAUGUCAUGUAGGCAGGAGAAAAUGGAGGAUAAAAGAGGGUCCAACAACCACGGCGAGGUAGAGGCUUAUCUCUCACCACGACAGACUUGAGGGGUUCUCUGCCAUCUGAUCCUUCACCACAACGUGGAGACUGAUCUCUCACCACGACACGAGCUUCCUGCCUUCAGAUUCUUCUCUACAGACCGUUUGCUGACGGACUUCCCUGGGCCUGCUACCUGAGACCUGCUGCUUCCUCCCUGACCUGCACCCUCUCGUUGCCCAAGACCGGCCCCGCUGCUCCUGCCCUUCGGCCUCAGACCGUCGGAACAUCGUGUAACGGGACUGCUGCUGGAUCCUGGUGGUGACUAUCCCUGCUUUACGCAAUUCUUGCCUCUUUCUAUCUUUUCUAUCGCUCGCCUUCCCUUCCCCAUCACCCCAAUCCUUAAUAGUGUCCGUCCUCCCCUUUCCCCAUCUCCCUUAUUAACAUUUGUAAUAAACUGGUCGGACCAACAUUUGAACCGUUGUUUCUUAAUCUCACGCUGGGCAUACAUAUUUCAAAGAACCUCCUCUCCCUCCUAUAAAUUGGAGCGAGACACCGUCCCUCAUGUGGCACUGGUUAGUGGGCAUGAUAAGGAUGGUUUGACAGUUGGACUUGGUGAUUUUCGUGGUCUCUUCCAACCGUAAUGUUUUUAUGAUUCUAUGAAACCGAAACAGUAUUUAACACUGUACUUAAGAGAUCACAAAUCUGGAUCCCCUGUGUAAUAAAAUUAGUCCAUGUGAGAUGUGUUAUUCUUAAAACACAUCUUGUUGCCACAAACUUCCGUUUUUUUGAAUAGGUAAAGUUUGUCUAGGCAUUAAAAC